RNAcentral lists this ribosomal RNA (421 nucleotides) under uncultured bacterium. RNAcentral describes it as "partial 16S ribosomal RNA". It matches the Rfam family "Bacterial small subunit ribosomal RNA", at positions 360 to 773 of the family's 1533-position model. The record is from RNAcentral.
AAUAUUGGACAAGGGGGGCAACCCUGAUCUAGCCGUGCCGCGAGUGUGAAGAAGGUCUUAGGAUUGUAAAGCACUUUAAGUUGGGAGGAAGGGCCUUAGGUUAAUACCCUGAAGUUUUGACGUUACCAACAGAAUAAGCACCGGAUAACGCAGUGCCAGCAGCCGCGGUAAUACAGAGGGUGCAAGCGUUAAUCGGAAUUACUGGGCGUAAAGCGCGCGUAGGUAGUUCAGUAAGAUGGGUGUGAAAUCCCCGGGCUUAACCUGGGAACUGCUUUCAUAACUGCUGAGCUAGAGUACGGUAGAGGGUAGUGGAAUUUCCUGUGUAGCGGUGAAAUGCGUAGAUAUAGGAAGGAACACCAGUGGCGAAGGCGACUACCUGGACUGAUACUGACACUGAGGUGCGAAAGCGUGGGGAGCAAAC